RNAcentral lists this microRNA precursor (81 nucleotides) under Anopheles gambiae str. PEST. RNAcentral's name for it is "partial AGAP013694-RA". Lineage: Eukaryota; Metazoa; Arthropoda; Insecta; Diptera; Culicidae. The record is from RNAcentral.
CGUGCUUGUGUGUGUGUGUGUGUGUGUGUGUGUGUGUGUGUGUGCAAUGCCACGCGUUCCAGCUCGAGCCGAGCCACACGC